CCUACCACCUGUGCCCUUCCUAGUGAAGAGAAAAACAAAUAAAAGGCCACACGAGGACACACACAAGGAAAAGACAAGUGAGCAUCUCAUUGCCAGCACGCUGAUCUUAGGCUUCCAUCUUUCAACACUGUAGAAAAGUAAACAUCUGUUAUCAUGCACUCCUCACCCUGAUUCUUUGCCUUGCCAUGGGCUGAAAACUACACGGCCAGCUAACCAUGAAUGCAAAGCUCUGAAGCCGUCAGC
This is a long non-coding RNA of Jaculus jaculus (lesser Egyptian jerboa), 243 nucleotides long. RefSeq lists it as uncharacterized. NCBI's taxonomy places the organism in Eukaryota, Metazoa, Chordata, Mammalia, Rodentia, Dipodidae. The record is from RefSeq and is a predicted model, not a curated record. The transcript is spliced from 3 exons.